Molecule: long non-coding RNA, 1018 nt
Filed under: Homo sapiens (human)
Lineage: Eukaryota; Metazoa; Chordata; Mammalia; Primates; Hominidae
Description: HSALNT0376928
Source: RNAcentral
AAGGAGCUGUGGGUUAUACUCAGGAUUGGUUUCCCCACAUGGCAGGCUAGCCUGGCCAUUCUACAGUCUGCCCAGAGCUGCAGCGUAAAGAGGCAUUAGACGGUACAUAUUGUUGAUUUCCAGGAAGUUACACUGCCCUACUUUAAGGUGAUGCUCAUUAGUCUGCAAACCUGGAUGCUGAAGAAAUCCAUGUCAUAGAAGGACAGAAGUCUUGUAUCCUGUGCCAACUCUCAUUGUUUGGUGGUGAUUGCCUGGAGUGCUGGGGCUAGUCUGGGUUCUGCAGGAAAAAAGGGUCUUGCUGUGUCCCUAGGCUGGAGUGCAGUGGUGCAGUCUCAAUUAUGCCAGAUGGCUCUGAGGUCCAAGUAAAAGAUAAUAUUUGCAACCAACUCACUGGAGUUGACCAUCAAAACUCUUUUCCAGGUGGAAAAGCACCCUGAAUCCAGCUUCCUGCUAUGAAUGAAUACUGAGCUUGGGUUGGUGGAAAUUGAUUUUCGAGAUAAAGAAUCCAGCCAGGACUGUGAAGCCCCAGGGAAUGGCUGCACUUCAAGUCAGAAGGAGCCUGGGUCCCUGAAUCAUCAUGUGGAAGGCUCUCCACCCAGUUCAAUGGUGCAAUGGACCACAAGCAGGAACUUAAUUUAGAAUGUGCUUAUUUUGUUAGAUUUUGUAAUUAAAAAAUGGAUCCCACUCUGACUGAAUCAGAGAUGUUGAAGUCAUUGAUCUGGGAGGGUAUGUUCCUGGGAGUGGGUGGCUGAGGUGAGAUUUCAAACAAGGUUGUUGAGGAAGAGGAGUUCAAGUGACUGAGAGGACAUAUUGUUGGAUAAAUUGUGCGUGCGUGUGUGUGUGUGUGUGUGUGUGUGUUGAAAUCACCAAGAAUAGGGAAAGAAGUGUAUAAGAGAGUGUGGCAGUGAGCCCAGAGCUAAAAGAAAUCAUGAGCAGGGAGUAAUUCACGAGCAGAAAGUAGAAGCAACGAGAGGCAGUUAAUGAGAGAAGCAGCUGAGGGAUUUUAGCAAGGGAUGGG